GACGAACGCUGGCGGCGUGCUUAACACAUGCAAGUCGAACGAAGUGGCGAACGGGUGAGUAACGCGUAAUCAACCUGCCCUUCAGAGGGGGACAACAGUUGGAAACGACUGCUAAUACCGCAUACUGAAGGAGGGGAUUGCGUCGGAUUAGCUAGUUGGAGGGGUAGCGGCCCACCAAGGCGAUGAUCAGGAGCCGGUCUGGGCGGAGGUACGGCCACAUUGGGACCUGGACACGGCCCAGAUUCCUACGGGAGGCAGCAGUGGGGAAGCUUCCGCAAUGGACGAAAGUCUGACGCAGCAACGCCGCGUGAGUGGUGACGGCCUUCUGGUUGUAAAGCUCUGUUAAUCGGGACGCGGUACCGGAAUAGAAAGCCACGGCUAACUACGUGCCAGCAGCCGCGGUAAUUC
Molecule: ribosomal RNA, 408 nt
Filed under: uncultured bacterium
Lineage: Bacteria
Description: partial 16S ribosomal RNA
Rfam family: Bacterial small subunit ribosomal RNA
Source: RNAcentral